Molecule: small nucleolar RNA, 138 nt
Organism: Ornithorhynchus anatinus (platypus)
Lineage: Eukaryota; Metazoa; Chordata; Mammalia; Monotremata; Ornithorhynchidae
Source: RefSeq, a predicted model, not a curated record
CCCCUCUCAGGGUCGCACCUGGAGAGUUUCCAGUAGUCUACCAGUCUCAGCAAUGGGAGGGAGAGUCAAGCAGAGGCCUGUCCAUUCCAUUCCUAGCUUGGCCAGUGGCUAGCCAGUGGAAGGCCACCUGCUACUAGU